Molecule: ribosomal RNA, 253 nt
Filed under: uncultured bacterium
Lineage: Bacteria
Description: partial 16S ribosomal RNA
Rfam family: Bacterial small subunit ribosomal RNA
Source: RNAcentral
UACAGGGGGGGCAAGCGUUGUUCGGAAUUACUGGGCGUAAAGGGUCAGUAGGCGGCCAACUAAGUCCGACGUGAAAUCCCCAGGCUUAACCUGGGAACUGCGUCGGAUACUGGAUGGCUUGAAUUCGGGAGAGGGAUGCAGAAUUCCAGGUGUAGCGGUGAAAUGCGUAGAUAUCUGGAGGAAUACCGGUGGCGAAGGCGACUACCUGGCCUGUUCUUGACGCUGAGGCGCGAAAGCUAGGGGAGCAAACGGG